CCUUAAGUGCUACAGAAAGCUGCAGAUUCCAUUUGGAAAAAGGACAGUGAAAUGAGUGAUGAAAUAGGCAAGAUGAGCAUGUAAUCAACAGCCAUUGGCUAACAAYUUGGUGCCUCAAAGGACAAGGAAAACGUGGAAGAAAAAUAUUGAAUUCUUGUCAGGGCUACAGCAGAUUUGUGCUCGCUCCUCAAACCCGUCCUAGAAGACCUGACCCCAGACCUGUGUGCACACAUGCACACCCACAUGUACAGCAAACUUUCCAGGGGCUUGGAGACACUCUUCUGAAAACAGGCAGGACCUGCCUGCUGCCUGCUCCCCGUGACAUCAGCAGGAACCUGCCAGAGUUCCGCUCCAGCAGGAUCAGAGCCUCGGGCCGUGUCUGCAGUUGUUUGCACAGGUGCAAAUGAAGUGUGAAUCUACUGCAGCCAGCACAGGCAUUCAUCAUCAUCCCCUCAGCCCACAGAGCUGCCUUCAGCCUUGCUUUGAACUCACYGAGRUCCCUCCCUGU
Molecule: long non-coding RNA, 508 nt
Organism: Malurus melanocephalus (red-backed fairy wren)
Lineage: Eukaryota; Metazoa; Chordata; Aves; Passeriformes; Maluridae
Exons: 3
Source: RefSeq, a predicted model, not a curated record